RNAcentral lists this unclassified non-coding RNA (146 nucleotides) under Geomyces auratus. Its description in RNAcentral is "partial internal transcribed spacer 2". RNAcentral also lists the same sequence under 1 other name. Lineage: Eukaryota; Fungi; Ascomycota; Leotiomycetes; Thelebolales; Pseudeurotiaceae. The record is from RNAcentral.
CAACCCUCAAGCUCUGCUUGGUGUUGGGCCCCGCCGCCCCGGCGGGCCCUAAAAUCAGUGGCGGUGCCGUCCGGCUCCGAGCGUAGUAAUUCUUCUCGCUCUGGAGGUCCGGGUGUGUGCUCGCCAGCAACCCCCAAUUUUUUUCA